GACGAACCGUGCGAACGUUGUUCGGAAUCACUGGGCUUAAAGGGCGCGUAGGCGGGUUCUCAAGUCAGGGGUGAAAGCCCGCGGCUCAACCGCGGAAGCGCCUUUGAUACUGGGGACCUCGAGGGGGGUAGGGGCGUGCGGAACUUCCGGUGGAGCGGUGAAAUGCGUAGAUAUCGGAAGGAACACCGGUGGCGAAAGCGGCGCGCUGGACCCCUUCUGACGCUGAGGCGCGAAAGCCAGGGGAGCAAAC
Molecule: ribosomal RNA, 250 nt
Filed under: uncultured bacterium
Lineage: Bacteria
Description: partial 16S ribosomal RNA
Rfam family: Bacterial small subunit ribosomal RNA
Source: RNAcentral